Molecule: non-coding RNA, 59 nt
Organism: Erinaceus europaeus (western European hedgehog)
Lineage: Eukaryota; Metazoa; Chordata; Mammalia; Eulipotyphla; Erinaceidae
Source: Rfam
CCACCUUAAGACCGCGCUCGCCAGCCCGCGCGGGGCGGCUCCCGGCGCCGCGGCCAAUG